GGUAUAACUCAGUGGUAGAGCAUUUGCCUAACAUGCACAAGGCCCUGGGUUCAAUCCCCAGCACC
RNAcentral lists this transfer RNA (65 nucleotides) under Ictidomys tridecemlineatus (thirteen-lined ground squirrel). RNAcentral's name for it is "Spermophilus tridecemlineatus (thirteen-lined ground squirrel) tRNA". It matches the Rfam family "tRNA". Rfam says of the family: Transfer RNA (tRNA) molecules are approximately 80 nucleotides in length. Their secondary structure includes four short double-helical elements and three loops (D, anti-codon, and T loops). Lineage: Eukaryota; Metazoa; Chordata; Mammalia; Rodentia; Sciuridae. The record is from Rfam by way of RNAcentral.